CUACCGGCAUCGCGAGGUGUCGGGAUGCGGGUGAGGAAGUCAGCCGAGGCCAUAGUAGGUGCCGGGACGGACCGAAGGGC
Azoarcus sp. KH32C is the source of this 80-nucleotide non-coding RNA. NCBI's taxonomy places the organism in Bacteria, Pseudomonadati, Pseudomonadota, Betaproteobacteria, Rhodocyclales, Zoogloeaceae. The record is from Rfam.